RNAcentral lists this ribosomal RNA (216 nucleotides) under Glomeromycotina sp. RNAcentral describes it as "partial small subunit ribosomal RNA". The stretch from base 75 to 216 matches the Rfam family "Eukaryotic small subunit ribosomal RNA", at positions 721 to 864 of the family's 1831-position model. The record is from RNAcentral. Lineage: Eukaryota; Fungi; Glomeromycota.
GGGUCAGUAGGUUGGUCGUGCCACCGGUACGUACUGGUCUCACUGAUUCCUCCUUCCUGAAGAACCGUAACGCCAUUAAUUUGGUGUUGCGGGGAAACAGGACUGUUACUUUGAAAAAAUUAGAGUGUUUAAAGCAAGCUAACGCUUGAAUACAUUAGCAUGGAAUAAUGAAAUAGGACGAUCGACCCUAUUUUGUUGGUUUCUAGGAUUGACGUA